This is a long non-coding RNA of Tachysurus fulvidraco (yellow catfish), 822 nucleotides long. RefSeq lists it as uncharacterized. Lineage: Eukaryota; Metazoa; Chordata; Actinopteri; Siluriformes; Bagridae. The record is from RefSeq and is a predicted model, not a curated record. The transcript is spliced from 3 exons.
GAGUCUAUAUUUAUAGCCCUCAAUCUGCGUAGUGGCCAAUAAAAAAAGCCAGACCGAUGUAACAUCUCAACAUUCUCCUCCCAGACUUAUUCACGGAUUCAUGCGCCAAAUAAUCAACAUCAUUUCAUCAUUUGCCGGAAGCAAAGUUUAUACAUCUCUGUAUCAUUUAGUUGGCUCAAACUGGACUUCUUUCAGCAACCACAGAGUGCAACAGAGGAGAAGGAUUGCCCAAUCUGGGAAACACUUCUGGUAUUCAGCACACGAAUUUAUUAGACGAGGCACGGCAUGUAGCAUUGCUGAACUUGGCAUGAUCCUGUGCUCUGGUUACUGUCUGUGUGACAUUUUGCUCAUGAUGUCCUCUGUCUCUGUGGGGUUUGUACAGUUUCUCCUCUUUCCUCUCCAUCUCCCACAAACAAUGCAGAUGAAUAAUAAAUGGACACUUUAGUUAAGUAGACACUUACCAAUAACAAUUAAUGUACAAAUUGGCUAGCUUACAUCAAUCGGUACUUUUACAUACAAAUAAAUAACCCCUCUGUCAUUGGAUAGAAAUACGUCAGUGUAAACACCUCAAUCGAUCUAGAAGAAGAAGAGAAGAGAUUUUGUUGUGAUUGUAGAUCUGAAAUAAACUGAAUAGGACACCAACAGUUUUCUCAACUGAAUAAAAAAAUAUUGUCUAUGUUUAUUUAGGCAUUACUUUUGUGUAGAUAUUUUGCUCUAAUAUAUGUAUUACACAUGUAAACAAAUAUUUCAAUCAGAUUGCAGUGUUUAUGGUUAAUUCAGAAAUCUACCUUGGUGUCAAAUUCAUGAAUUUUGAUUGAUGAA